GGGCCAGGGGCGCAAUGGAUAACACGUCUGACUACGGAUCAGAAGAUUCUAGGUUUGACUCCUGGCUGGCCCA
Danio rerio (zebrafish) is the source of this 73-nucleotide non-coding RNA. The record is from Rfam. NCBI's taxonomy places the organism in Eukaryota, Metazoa, Chordata, Actinopteri, Cypriniformes, Danionidae.